RNAcentral lists this long non-coding RNA (394 nucleotides) under Elaeis guineensis (African oil palm). RNAcentral's name for it is "long non-coding RNA (EGUI_LNC031521)". Lineage: Eukaryota; Viridiplantae; Streptophyta; Magnoliopsida; Arecales; Arecaceae. The record is from RNAcentral.
CUGAUAUCAUAUCUGUAAUUUUUGACAUAUAAAUGAAUAUAAUAUUAAAUAAUAAUAAUAAUAAAUAAAUAAUAUUCUAAUUAAUAUAAUUAUAUCACAUAUCAUUAUUGUAAGAGAAAAUUGAACGAAGAAUAAAGAUCUACUCAUCAAUAUUCGUAUCUUCCUCGAUGUGUAGAUUCUCCUCCGAAUCAUAAUAAUCGAUAUAUGUGUCAACUUCUAUCUCAUCAUUAUUUAUGAACUGAUUGCUGCUCUCUGACUUAUCAAGAUUAUAUAUAAAAUCAGCUUCAACUUCAUUGGACGGCAGAUCAACCCUAUUCAAAGGUGUCGUUACAAGUUCUUCAUCAAUAAAAGGCUCGGCUAAUAUUUGUUCUUCUCACUGAAAAGCUUCUUCUUC